Molecule: long non-coding RNA, 214 nt
Filed under: Nicotiana benthamiana
Lineage: Eukaryota; Viridiplantae; Streptophyta; Magnoliopsida; Solanales; Solanaceae
Description: long non-coding RNA (NBEN_LNC040069)
Source: RNAcentral
CACAAUCGAUUGUUGAACUUUGUCAAUCGAUUGUUGAACGUACACAAUCGAUUGUUAGGCAGUUUUAAUGCGAAAUAUUAGAUAAUCGACUAACUGUUAGGUUAGUCGAUUAUCGCUACUGGAAAAUAAAAAUAUUAUUGAAAUCUGAGCAUAUUGAAACAUUCUAAAGAACUAAUACUAACAUUAUAUCAUAAACUAACUAAUACGAGCUGNN